Molecule: long non-coding RNA, 681 nt
Organism: Oreochromis niloticus (Nile tilapia)
Lineage: Eukaryota; Metazoa; Chordata; Actinopteri; Cichliformes; Cichlidae
Exons: 3
Source: RefSeq, a predicted model, not a curated record
GGUACAGUGUUAGUUUUGUGACUGUGAAAAAAAUCUACCAUAGCUCACAAAAGAAAUUAUUGUGACUUCUGUCUAAAUGUUUCUUCCCACACUGCACCACUGCAACCUGGUAAAGUCACCCAGCUACAAUGUAGGCAACAGUAAAUAGUUGCCAUGGCCUUUUCCCCCCCUUUGGUCCAGAAUUUGUAUUGUUUCACUUCAAGGUCCAUCUGUGUGCUCAGAUUUGUUGACAUAUUCUCAUAGCACCCAAACCUGUUAAUUUAAGCCCACAGGACUGCUGAACAUCAAGGUGCCAUGCCGAUGCAUCCAUCAUGUUCUCAGAAGAUACAGUCGUUACAAUUACACGUUAAGUGAACCAAAGGAAUUUUCCACGCAUCGCCUCCGUUCAACUUUGAGAUCCUUACCGUCCACUACACAGGAUGUAUCGUGUCCUUGGACGUAGCAUGCGUGUUUAUCUCAUUUCCCAAUGUUUUUCCACGCAGUUUGAGGAUACAGGGCAGGAAACAUCGAAGGACACUAUAGAACGCCCCACCCAACACAAACAAAGGAGUAACAGUUACUGAAAUUUUCUCCAGAUGACCUUUCCCUCAAUUUGGCUGAGACGCUUCAGAGGAACCCCAAAAUAGCUGGCACCAUUGUUACAUUCUGUCUGCAUUUCCAAUUAAACGUGUGUUACAGCAU